Molecule: long non-coding RNA, 2877 nt
Organism: Vicia villosa (hairy vetch)
Lineage: Eukaryota; Viridiplantae; Streptophyta; Magnoliopsida; Fabales; Fabaceae
Exons: 6
Source: RefSeq, a predicted model, not a curated record
AAAAUUAAAUCAGGAAAGUCAGCAACGUGGAAAAGAAACAAGCAAUAAGGCAUAAGCGCUUUUUCCAAAAGCUAUUUUUUUCCUCUCAUCUUCCUCACGUGACAGCAGCAACAACAAUACGCUUAAAUUCUUCAUCUAUUUUUUCAGAAAAAAAUCGAUAGAACAAACAACCAACAAUCGGAUUCAGUUUUCGAUUUUGGAUUGUUUCAAUUUCGGUUUUGGUUCGUGUUUGGAAGUUUCGACUCAGUGGAUAGUUUGGAUUCGAGCAGAGCUUUUUCACGGUUUAGAUUUUGCAUUCCUGCCAAGUUUUCCAUACAUGUUUGUUUCGAUUUCGAAUCGAGUUUUGUUUCAGUUCAUAAUUUGAUUUACGUUUUCUGUUCAUAAUUGGUUGCGUUUUUGAAUUAUUGCAUUUUUACGGAUUCGACUCAAUUACGGAUUCUACUAAAGUUUGAUUAUGAUUUGAUUUCGGUGCAGAUUUUGGUUUGAAUUAAAAUUAAAGCACGUAUACAAUAUCAUAAAGCUAAAUUGGAUGAGCGCUCACCGGUUGAAACUUGAAAUGAAGAAAAAUUGCAGAUUUCGUCCUCACUCGCAAGGUGUUCGAUGAAAUGUCCCAACCGGAUUCUUUCUUCUUUUUGCUUCAGUUUUGAUUUUCUUACGAAUCAAAACUAGUUUCUAAGAUUUAUUGCAACAUAGGUGGAGCUGCCAAUUGAUAAAAAUAUAGUGAGUUGGUGAAAUCAAUGAAAAAGAAAAGUGAGGCUCUUGCUGAUCCUUGGAUUAUUGACUUUGAAUAUAGAGUUAAAGAAGAUGUUGGUUACUACGAGACUGACAAAAGGUGCAAGAAUACUCAAAUCGCUUAAUCAGGUACGAAAUUUUUGCAUGCACUUCUUAUAUCUUAUAAUCUUAUACUUGUAGUAUUUUACCUAUAAAAGGGGUUGAUUCUGGUCAAGAAUCAAGAUCAAUGUUAUAAUUUCAUUUAGCGAGAAAGGUUAUUAGUUAUUGUUUUUUACCAAUGAUUAUAUCAAGCACCACUUAGUUUUUAGGACCCUUCAUGAUUAAUUUUUGGUAGUAUUUUCCUAUAAAAGGUGUUGUUCUUGUAACAUUUACAUAUUAAGUUGAGUUGAAUUAAUUAUAGUGUGUUGGUAAUACCACUGAUAUAUUUGGUAUUAAAAGAAAUUUCCUAUCAAAUUAUAUUUGCAGUGUCUAUGUGUGAAUUCUUGUGUGUAAGUAUACCCCAGUGAUAUAUUUGGUACAACUUGUUCCAUUGGAUCGUUUGAAAUAAAGUUGAGAUAUUAAAAAAAUAGAUUAAUCCUGUAACAUGCAUAUACAUGUUUUGUAGGAAUUGAACAUGUUAAUGCAAUUUUUGUUUGUUCUAAUUGUUUUGAACUUGUAGGAAUUGAACAUGUUUUGUAGGAAUUAAACUUGUUCCAUUGGAUCUUUUGAAAUAAAGUUGAGAUAUUAAAAAAAUAGAUUAAUCUUGUAGCAUGCAUAUACAUGUUUUGUAGGAAUUGAACAUGUUAAUGCAAUUUUUGUUUGUUCUCGUUAUUGAUCAGGGUCCUUCUGUUGGGUUUGAUGUUGACUUGAGCAUAUUUGAUCUAUUCCAUGGUCAUCUUUUCCUAACCAGAGACUUCGGAAGAGUUGGUAUCUUGUAUGUUGAUGAGUAUUAGUUAGUGAUGCAGAUACUUUUCUCGGUUAAAUUGUACUCAUCAGUUUCUCAUUAUAAUUAAACUAUGAUAUUAGAAUAUACUUGAAAGAAUGUUGAUUAUUGAAAAUGAAACGGUGUCUUUGAGAUACAAGAACAAACUUUGCUCCUGCAUCUAAUUCAGGUGAACCAGAAGAGUGAUGAACGAUUGCAAAACCCUUUUCACUAUGUGUUGGAAACUCUUUUGGACAUGCUUAGCAACUUGCAUCAUUAUUAGUUUAUAAUAAGAUAUUAAUAUAAAGUCCUUAUUUUAUUGUAUGGUAUUGUGAGGUGGGGUAUAGUAUAAAUAUAAAGUAUUGAAGGUGGCUAAGGAGAAUCGUCCUAUGUGAAUAUAAAAGUCAAUUUAAUCAGCUAUAUAAUAUAAUAAAAAAAUCAUAUGCCAAAUACUAUGUAUGUUGUUUUUGGAGAAAAAAAAACGUUGAAGUGGUGUUAUAGUCUGGUAGGCACAUUGACCCCUUGCAGCUUGUCAAACACAAGUCAUUGGUAUGAAGAUUAGAAAUACUAUGAUGGUUUUAUAGUCAGUGGUGUUAUUGUUGAUUAAUGGCUGCUUUCAAAUGAGCUCACUCAUCUCUGGAAAUUGUGGCUACUGUUUCAGAUUAAGAUCAAUUUUCUUUAGGAGUUAUUGAUGCUGUCUCAAAUUUCUCUCUUCGGCACGGCCCUUUUAUCAGGCACUUUCAGUUUAGAGCCAUUAGGUCUGCGUCGGUUGGUAGAGCAGUACUUGAUAAUACUGAUGUUGCAGUUAAGGCCUUAAGACCAGACAUAACUCAAGGGGAGAAGCAAUUUCAUCAAGAGGAUUUGUAGCUGGAGUUUUCAGCAUUACUCGCUGUGGCGUUAAGAAAUACAGGAGGCGCAACGAUUGGGUUGUAACACUGUUUGGUAUGCCUCAUAGUUACUGAUAAGUGGGUGGUCAUUCAAGAGUAUGGUGCAGUCGCGCAGAGAUUGCUGCUCUAGCAUAACCAAAAAUAUUGAGCCAUAGAAGCACACUUGUGUACUUAAAGGAUGCUGCUGUAAGUAUAGUUUUCAACAAACUUUUUGGCUGCUUAUGUAAUCACGCACCCAAACCGAUAGGUGCCGCAGUUUUAAAGUAAAGCCCUGUACUUUCUAGCUUCAUUAUAAAUUCAAUGUGUAGUCGUGUAUUGUGGAAUACAAUUCUGUCUUCAAUCAAAUACAUUGCUCAA